RNAcentral lists this ribosomal RNA (425 nucleotides) under uncultured bacterium. RNAcentral's name for it is "bacterial SSU rRNA". It matches the Rfam family "Bacterial small subunit ribosomal RNA", at positions 356 to 773 of the family's 1533-position model. The record is from RNAcentral.
GGGGAAUAUUGGACAAUGGGCGCAAGCCUGAUCCAGCAAUGCCGCGUGUGUGAAGAAGGCCUUCGGGUUGUAAAGCACUUUUGGCAGGGAGGAAGUUGUGAAGUUUAAGAGAUGUCACAAUUGACUGUACCUGCAGAAUAAGCACCGGCUAACUCUGUGCCAGCAGCCGCGGUAAUACAGAGGGUGCAAGCGUUAAUCGGAGUUACUGGGCGUAAAGGGCGCGUAGGCGGUUAUAUAAGUGAGAUGUGAAAUCCCUGGGCUUAACCUAGGAACUGCAUCUCAUACUGUAUAACUGGAGUAUUGUAGAGGGUAGUGGAAUUUCCGGUGUAGCGGUGAAAUGCGUAGAGAUCGGAAGGAACACCAGUGGCGAAGGCGGCUACCUGGACAAAUACUGACGCUGAGGCGCGAGAGCGUGGGGAGCGAAC